RNAcentral lists this long non-coding RNA (624 nucleotides) under Struthio camelus australis. Its description in RNAcentral is "lncRNA (ENSSCUG00000008641.1)". The record is from RNAcentral. Lineage: Eukaryota; Metazoa; Chordata; Aves; Struthioniformes; Struthionidae.
GCUUAUUAAGAACAGAGCAGAAGCUUAUAACAGUUCAUAAGAGAAGAAACUUUGAACUUCUGGUUAAGUAAAGCUUGGACAGUAAUGAGGGCUGAAGAAUCAGAGAAUGCCAACACAAAGUCUGCGUACCCAGUUCUUUGCAGUGUAUUUAUUUGUUGCUGAUAUUCAUGUGCAGUAAAAUACCUUCAUAUCACUGCUGCCUAGUAAUUGUUCUUUGGGAAUAUAUUAAUCAUAAUGACUUUAACUGAACCAUUUAAAGGGGUGACUGCUACAGCAUAUUGUUAAGGAUCUGCAUUAUGGUUGGAUGCUGUGAGUUUUAUGGCCCAUCUCUCACUCACUGCUGGAAAGCUGUCAGUUCCCAUGCUGAACAUAAUUAUUCACUGUCUAAGAAAAGAAGGUGUUGGUCCCUGGCCGAAGGAAUGCACAAUCACACAUAAAGAUUUAUGGAAUAUCAUGGAGAGUCAAACAGGUUGAUUGUAGCGAGUGUCUUCGCCAGGUUUUUCGUCAACUACUUGUCUUGCCGAUCUGUGAAUGGUCGCCUGAGUCACCGGAUCUUGUUUCUACUCUGACUGAACGACUGUCAAGGAAGAAACGCAAAUAAAGGGUAAGAAAAUAAUGAAUACA